RNAcentral lists this long non-coding RNA (1395 nucleotides) under Homo sapiens (human). Its description in RNAcentral is "HSALNT0308566". The record is from RNAcentral. Lineage: Eukaryota; Metazoa; Chordata; Mammalia; Primates; Hominidae.
GCUGACCAUCUUGACCAGAAUAGAAGAGGGAGGCAAAAUGUGUGUAUCCCUGAGCUGGAAGUUCAACCAGGCAGAUUUCAUGGGCUUCUUUCACACAAGAAGGCAAUACCAGAAGAAAUGGAUGUGACUGCUUUACAUUAAUUUCUACUGAUCCCAUCCAAACAGAUAAUAUCAGAAGAAAUGGAUGUGACUGCUUUACAUUAAUUUCUACUGAUCCCAUCCAAACAGAUGAACAACUUGAUGUCUUCCUUUAAAAAAAAAAUGACAUGUGGCCUUCAUAGCUUUUUUCCUUCCCCUUGAUGUAAAUCUCAAGUGUUUAAAAGGAGGAAUGAGUCUAAAUCAUAGAAAAUCUCUAUUUAGAUUGGGAUAAGCUAAUUAGCUAUUAUUUAUUGAUCCCUUGCUGUAAGUCAGAAACUAUAUUCGAUGCUUUCAAUGUAUUAAAUCUGAUCCUUCUCUCAACCCUGCAAAGUGGAUACUGUCCUAAUUUUUCAGUUAAGGAAACUGAGACUCAAAGAGGUUAAGUAGCUUGCCAAAGUCUCACAGCUGGAAAGUAGAUGAGCUAGAAUUUGUCCUCAGAUCAGCCUUGCUUUUUCCACUCUACCCCACUACUUCCCAAUACCCAGAGACAACUGAGUUAUGAUGGGGUAUGGAAAGCUCCCGAAGGCCAGCCCCUCUGGGAGACUCCCUAAUGAGUCCACCACUAUCCAUUGGAAAAUACCCCAGUUUCUGAGAAGCAAAAACUCUACCAUGUUUAGAUUUAAAAAAAAAAAAUAAUAAUAAGCUUUGACCAGUUAAGGAAGUCAUUUUGAAGUUUAUUUUGUCCUAGUUGGUCCUGGCUUGAUCUCAGUGAUAGUAGAUUCCCCUGCAUCAACUCUAGCCAGAGCACACUGUUUCUAGGACUUUUCCCCACGCUGAGCCCUGUUGAGGACUGUGGUCACUCUAGCAAGUCACAGCAGUUUAGGGUUGACAUAGCAGAGUUCAAAUGUCUGACUUUUCUCACUGUUGUGUACUUGUUGGCCAGGAUGCCUCAUUUGACUUUGUCUCACCCAUAGUCAUUUUCAGAUCCAAUGGCCCAGUGGCAUUCUGGCAGCUCUUUUCUAUUCUUCAUUCUUGGUUGGAACCUGAAGGUAGUAUGCUCCUCUGGCUUUGGUCUAAUAUUUGAGGCCACUCUGCCUUCCUAGUAUUUGUAUAAUAUGGCCCCUUAAGCCCCUACCGAGAUGGCUAGGAAGUGGGAGUGAAAGUUAAGGCUCUUGGGAUGGUGGGAGGAAAGACAAUUGAUUUAUUUUUGAGCACGUAUCCAAAAUAAAUAAAUAAUAUAUUUAUAAACAUAAAUGUAUAUGUCUAUGUGUGUAUGUAUGCAUUUAUGUAUGUAUUAUAUAUAAAAUGAUUUAUAUA